UACGUAGGGGGCGAGCGUUGUCCGGAUUUAUUGGGCGUAAAGCGCUUGUAGGUGGCCACGUCAAGUCGGAUGUGAAAUCUCCCGGCUCAACUGGGAGGGGUCAUUCGAUACUGGCGGGCUCGAGGCCGGUAGGGGAAAGCGGAAUUCCCGGUGUAGUGGUGGAAUGCGUAGAGAUCGGGAGGAACACCAGUGGCGAAGGCGGCUUUCUGGACCGGUUCUGACACUGAGGAGCGAAAGCGUGGGGAGCGAUCCGG
Molecule: ribosomal RNA, 254 nt
Filed under: uncultured bacterium
Lineage: Bacteria
Description: partial 16S ribosomal RNA
Rfam family: Bacterial small subunit ribosomal RNA
Source: RNAcentral